Non-coding RNA from Desmophyllum pertusum, 74 nucleotides. Lineage: Eukaryota; Metazoa; Cnidaria; Anthozoa; Scleractinia; Caryophylliidae. The record is from the annotation of a GenBank genome assembly.
GACGUCGGUGGCCUAAUGGUUAGCGCGUUGGAUUCCGGAUCGAGCGAUCCGGGUUCGAUCCCUAGCCAGGGUCA